This 119-nucleotide ribosomal RNA is filed under the name Trichobilharzia regenti. The record is from RNAcentral. Lineage: Eukaryota; Metazoa; Platyhelminthes; Trematoda; Strigeidida; Schistosomatidae.
UAUGGUGAUCAUACCACUUUGAAAAUACUGGUUCUCGUUCGAUCACUGCUGGUAAGCAAAAUUGGACCCGAUUAAUAAUUGCAUGAGUGACUGGCUGGGAAUACUAGGUCUUGCCAGUG